UACGAAGGGGGCUAGCGUUGCUCGGAAUGACUGGGCGUAAAGGGCGCGUAGGCGGAGUGCUUUGUCGGGCGUGAAAUUCCAGGGCUCAACCUUGGGGCUGCGUUCGAGACGGGCAUUCUAGAGUGGAGAAGAGGGUCGUGGAAUUCCCAGUGUAGAGGUGAAAUUCGUAGAUAUUGGGAAGAACACCGGUGGCGAAGGCGGCGACCUGGUCUUUUACUGACGCUGAGGCGCGAAAGCGUGGGGAGCAAACAGG
RNAcentral lists this ribosomal RNA (253 nucleotides) under uncultured bacterium. RNAcentral's name for it is "partial 16S ribosomal RNA". It matches the Rfam family "Bacterial small subunit ribosomal RNA", at positions 524 to 776 of the family's 1533-position model. The record is from RNAcentral.